AGGAUGAACGCUGAGCGGUAUGCUUAACACAUGCAAGUCGAACGGUGUCUUCGGACAUAGUGGCGGACGGGUGAGUAACGCGUGAGAAUCUAGCUUCAGGUUGGACAACCACUGGAAACGGUGGCUAAUACGGAUGUGCCGAAAGGUGAAAGGCUUGCUGCCUGAAGAUGAGCUCGCGUCUGAUUAGCUAGUUGGUGGGGUAAGAGCCUACCAAGGCGACGAUCAGUAGCUGGUCUGAGAGGAUGAUCAGCCACACUGGGACUGAGACACGGCCCAGACUCCUACGGGAGGCAGCAGUGGGGAAUUUUUCCGCAAUGGGCGAAAGCCUGAUCGGAGCAAUACCGCGUGAGGGAGGAAGGCUCUUGGGUUGUAAACCUCUUUUCUCAGGGAAGAACACAAUGACGGUACCUGAGGAAUCAGCAUCGGCUAACUCCGUGCCAGCAGCCGCGGUUAAUACCGGAGGAUGCAAGCGUUAUCCGGAAUUGAUUGGGCGUAAAGCGUCCGCAGGGUGGCCUUGUAAGUCUGCUGUUAAAGAGCGAGGCUCAACUUUGUAAAGGCAGUGGAAACUACAGGGCUAGAGUGCGUUCGGGGCAGAGGGAAUUCCUGGUGUAGCGGUGAAAUGCGUAGAGAUCAGGAAGAACACCGGUGGCGAAGGCGCUCUGCUAGGCCGUAACUGACACUGAGGGACGAAAGCUAGGGGAGCGAAUGGGAUUAGAUACCCCAGUAGUCCUAGCUGUAAACGAUGGAUACUAGGCGUGGCUUGUAUCGACCCGAGCCGUGCCGUAGCUAACGCGUUAAGUAUCCCGCCUGGGGAGUACGCACGCAAGUGUGAAACUCAAA
This 840-nucleotide ribosomal RNA is filed under the name Anabaena sp. Ind6. RNAcentral's name for it is "bacterial SSU rRNA". It matches the Rfam family "Bacterial small subunit ribosomal RNA", at positions 26 to 905 of the family's 1533-position model. The record is from RNAcentral. Lineage: Bacteria; Bacillati; Cyanobacteriota; Cyanophyceae; Nostocales; Nostocaceae.